AGAAGGCGGAACUUUGGAGACAGCAAAGCUCACAGCGGCUUCCAGGGCAGAGGGAGAAAAUGAGUCCCUGAAGGUUGUAGGUGCAGUGAAACCACUCUACAGUGCAGCUGAGCCUAGUGAGCCCAAGGCAAACUGUGGGUUUCAGUUAGAUUUAUCAGCAGGGAGCCAGCGACCACAGCAGUAUCUGCUGGGGUAUUUGUUUAAGCUUGAAGGGCGGACAGCAGCACGCACAGCUUGAUUUACUUGUUCCAGUGGACGACACAAGUAGUGAGAAUGAGAUGAGGAAAAUAAACGGCCCCCAGGGAAGUCUUCGCUAUCCCGGUUCCCACCCCUGCUUCGGGAUGAAAUCCAGCAGGGCCGUUGCUAAGCUACUGGAGCAGCUGGACUCAGUGGGAGUCUGGGUGGUCUCACAAAAACUUGCUGAAGCUCUGAAGAGGCUGAGACAUGAUGGGCAUCCUGGAUGGAGCCCCUGGGAACAGUGUGUAACAGCAGAAGACACUCGAAUGUCAUUGGGGGUCCUCAGCACUGGUGUCAACACUGUGUCCCCCACCUGGAGAAGGGUGAGUAGGGUCUUUGCUGAACGGUGUCCCUAGAACCCAUGGUGACCCACUAUGGGUGACCAGGCAGGAAGUGGUUCAGGAGGUGCCCGUGGGCCCACACCUGUCCUGGGGCCGGUGCCCCAGGCCGCCUGGAGCAGCCCUACUGACCUCCCCGUGCUGUCCUGCUCCCAUCUCACCACGAGAGGCACCCUGACCCGCGCCCGUUGGGCUACCUGCCUCAGUAUGACCUUGUCAGUGAGUCUUCCAGGGAUCCCAGAGCUUGCACCCACAAACCCCGGACUUCUCUGGACAGUGCAAGGCCCAGGACUCCACAUGGGAGCAGAGGGAGGGGUUGCAGCCAGCUGGAAAUGGCAAAGAAAGAGCUGAGAGUGGCAGCUAGGGGUACAAGGAGGACCCCGUUGGAAGUCUGUCAGGAGGCCACCAGCCACACCUGCACUCAGACAGGGACACAGUUCCUCCCCACCCGGGGGACUGGGCCAGGUAUUACAAACGGUGCCCUGGAGAGAGCUGGGUGGAGGACCGCUGGCAUCCCUGCGUCCCCUCCGGAGGGAGCAGUGUCCCUGAGAGUGCAGCCCCGCACACUGCAGGACACCGCAGGGCCCACUGCAGGACAUGCUGUGGGUCCCACGCUCCCAUGCUGGGUGAAGAGUUGCGCGUCCCCCAUGGUGUGGCCGCUCCUCUGCCCUUCCCUCUGCUCCGGAGGAGGCUUCUCCCAGGACCUUGCGGGUCAUCUGUGAAGGAGGAUCGGCUCAGCCGCCAGGACCAGAGCUUAUCUGAGAGGCGCUGCCUUCCAGGGGCACCACGGGACAGUUUGUGCGCAAGACGUUGAGUAACAGUUACCAUAAGCUGAUUAGCACAUCCGUCGCCACCCCAGUAAUCACGGGGCUCGUGAGGACACUGAAAUCUGCCCCACCUGAUUCCAACCAGGAACCACACCUCUCCAAGCCACGCCCUGCGCGCCCCAUUCCCGGUGACCUUCGGGGCCUCCUCCCCUUCUCACCCCCACUCCCGAUUGUGCUAAUUCCUUUACCACCAUCCUGCCUUCCUCUCAGGGCUGGUUUCUUCUCAUUCCUUCUGUUUUUAGUAACUAUUAUCAGGAAAGAGGCCCAAAUUGGGGGUGGAGGAAGCAGAUUAAAAUAAAAAAUAAGAGACAGAGAGAGAUGAGGCAGAGACAGACAGAGACAAAUGGAGACAGCUAGAAGAAAAGGAGAGAGGGUCAUAAAGAGAGUGAUUAAGAUGAAGAAGAUUAAAGCAAAGAAUAGAGAGGAGAGGAG
Cavia porcellus (domestic guinea pig) is the source of this 1834-nucleotide long non-coding RNA. RefSeq lists it as uncharacterized. The record is from RefSeq and is a predicted model, not a curated record. NCBI's taxonomy places the organism in Eukaryota, Metazoa, Chordata, Mammalia, Rodentia, Caviidae. The transcript is spliced from 3 exons.